CAAAGACUAAGCCAUGCAAGUGCCCGUAUGAGUGUUUAUACAACGAAACUGCGAAUGGCUCGGUAAAACAGCAAUAAUUUCUUCGGGGAUAUUACUACUCGGAUAACCGUAGUAAAGCUAGAGCUAAUACGUUCCAUUAAAGCGCGAGUAAUCACGCUCGUGGUACUAAGUAUUAGAUACAACCCAGUUUUUUCUGGUGAUUCAUACUUAUCUUCUGAUCGCACCUCGUGUGCGACGCCCCGAUUAAAUUUCUGACCUAUCAACUAUGAUGGUAAGGUAGGGUCUUACCAUGGUUGUGACGGGUAACGGACCGUGGGUGCGGGAUUCCGGAGAGGGAGCCUGAGAAACGGCUACCACAUCC
This 361-nucleotide ribosomal RNA is filed under the name Womersleyella setacea. RNAcentral describes it as "SSU rRNA". It matches the Rfam family "Eukaryotic small subunit ribosomal RNA", at positions 38 to 417 of the family's 1831-position model. Lineage: Eukaryota; Rhodophyta; Florideophyceae; Ceramiales; Rhodomelaceae. The record is from RNAcentral.